Molecule: non-coding RNA, 802 nt
Organism: Pelobates cultripes (western spadefoot toad)
Lineage: Eukaryota; Metazoa; Chordata; Amphibia; Anura; Pelobatidae
Source: the annotation of a GenBank genome assembly
CUUACAGUGGCACCGGCCCUGCUCACAUCUGUUCUAAUAGAAAAGUUGUCAUCACCAGGACAAUUUAAAAGAGGGAGUUCUAGGGCAUAGGUUAUAAAGUGCCAAGUGGGGUGCUCUGUUGUUGCUCUGAUGUUCCAACUGUGUAUUUCCAUAGCUGUAAUUAAAACGGAUAGAUAAUACCUGAUGUUUUACUACUUAUCAACUAUUUAUAUAUAUAUGUCAUGGGUGGCAGUCCAGAGACCGGGACUCUUGUAUGCCUGAUGAUGAUAGGAGUCACAGCGUGGAAAUUGACGAUCAGGGCCUGGUGCUGGCUAACCACACGCCACCUAGUGUUGAGCACCAGCGUUUGUGCGGCCACAUACCAGGGCCCUGAUGCAGCUUCUGCAGAUCCCAGGUGCUAGAUGAGAAUAUGCAGACUUCCCAGGAUCUAGAUAGGGAGGCUCUGCAGCAGAUAUAUAUCCAAUACUAGAAACAAGGCAAGACUAGAAUAGGCACCAAACAAGAUAGCAAGACAAGACUAGAAGAAGCCAGAACCGGAGAAGGACAGAAAGCAGAACCCAUAACAUGUACACAAUACAUGAGGGAAACAUGAACAAGACAUGGACAGGGCACAACUCUGACCAUUUUUCUAGUUUACCUAAAUCAUUUGCCAUUUGACUUAUCCCUCCGUGUUGAAACAUCAACCCCACUACAUAUCUUAGUAUCAUCAGCAAAAUGACAUGCCUUACCAUCAAGACCUUCUGCAAUAUCACUAAUAAAAAUAUUAAAGAGAAUGGGUCCAAGUACAGAUUCCUGAGGUACC